Molecule: ribosomal RNA, 1181 nt
Filed under: Rhipicentor nuttalli
Lineage: Eukaryota; Metazoa; Arthropoda; Arachnida; Ixodida; Ixodidae
Description: 16S ribosomal RNA
Rfam family: Archaeal large subunit ribosomal RNA (bases 939-1097)
Source: RNAcentral
UUAUUUUUAAAAAAUGCGAAUUUAUGUAAAAAAAAAUAUUAAAUUAAGUAAAUUUUAAAAUUUUAAAACUGAAAAGGAAAAUUAAUAAUAAUUCAAUAGUAAUUUGAUUGUACCUUUAGCAUUAGGGUUUUUUUAAAAAAAUUAUGAAUAUAAUUUUCUCGAAAUAUGUUGAUCUAAAUUUUUUAAAAUAAUUUAUGUUUCAAUAUAAUUAAAAAAUAAAUUUAGAGGUGAAAUGCUUUUCAUGACAUAAGAUAUCUAGUUUUAAAAAUUUUAUUUAAUAUUUUUCUAUGUUUUAUUACUAAUAUUAUUAAGAAUUAAUAUAGAACAAUUAUCUAGGGAUAAGCUUAGAUUUAUUUUUUUUUUAAAUUUUAAAAAUAUAUAAAUUAAGAAUUAAAAUUUUUCUUUUUAUUUUUAUAAAUAAUUUCAAAAAGAAAAAAGAUUAUUAAUUUUUUAAUUAGAAAUUAAACGUUUAAUUUCUCAAAAAAUGAAAAAAUAAGUAAAAGAAAAAUUAUAUGAUAUACAUAUGUAUAAGUAAUAAUAAAAAUUAAAUAAUUUUUAAGAAUUCGGCAAAAAAUUUUUCUGACUGUUUAAUAAAAACAACUUAUUUAGUUAUUUUUAAAUAUAAAUCCUGCUCAAUGAAAAUUUAAAUUGCUGUAGUAUUUUGACUAUACAAAGGUAUUGAAAUAAGAUUUUAAUUGAAUGCUAAGAGAAUGGAAUUUCAGAAAAAUUCUUUUUUAAAACUAAAAAUUGAACUUAUUUUAAUUUGUGAAGAACCAAUUAUUAAUAUUAAGGACAAGAAGACCCUAAGAAUUUUUUGUUUUUUUUUAAAAAAUUUUUUAAAAUAAAAACUUUAAUUGGGGCGAUUAAAAAAUAUAAAUAACUUUUUUGAAAAGAAAAAUUGAACCAUUAUUAAUGGGAAAAUGGAAAAAUACUCUAGGGAUAACAGCGUAAUAAUUUUUGAUAGAUCAUAUUGACAAAAUAGAUUGCGACCUCGAUGUUGGAUUAGGAUACUUUUUUAAUGAAGAUAUUAAAAAAAGAAGUUUGUUCAACUUUUAAAAUCCUACAUGAUCUGAGUUUAGACCGAUGAGAAUCAGGUUGGAUUCUAUCUUAAUUUUUAUUUAAUUUUAAAUAGUACGAAAGGAAUUUUAAAAAUUAAGCAUUUAAAUAAAUUUCGCUUUAUU